AGUGGGAUAACUGGUUCAAAUGGUGGUUCCAUUCCAAGUUUUCUAAGAAAUCUCCAUACUGCUUUCCAGAGUGGUUGCACCAGUUUGCAGUCCCACCAGCAAU
RNAcentral lists this microRNA precursor (103 nucleotides) under Marmota monax (woodchuck). The record is from RNAcentral. Lineage: Eukaryota; Metazoa; Chordata; Mammalia; Rodentia; Sciuridae.